AGAGAUAUAGAGGUUUCUUGCCUGUGUGUCUGUGUUUCCUUUGUAUGUGUGUUUGCCUGUGUUUAUGAGAGAAAGAAAUAAGGGGCAUUCAGGCCUAAACUACCACCCAGUCUAGCUACUGUAACUGCUGCUUGGUUGGCACCUGAGAUAUUCUCCCGGCAAAGAAACUACAGGAUACUAAUCAAGAUGGACUUUUGGUGUGAUCCAGGAAGACACUUCCUCAAUUCUUAUGUUUGCACCAUUUCAUAAAACAUGAAUUACAUAGCUCUAUGCAUUAGAUUAAAAAUACCUGAAGACACUAAACAGAAUUAACACACAUCUGUUUAAAAUAAAGCCAUGUUUCUUGGCUUCGUUAAAACCUUGGAAAGCACACAUCAUGCUUCCUUGAGAAGAUGCAGAUGGAAUUGGUGGCACCACUCUAAUGUAUGAAGCACAUUUCCAUUAAACUAAUUUUAACUCCCUUUGUUAGAAAAAACAUAUUUUAUUUUAUAGCAUUGAGAGUUACCAGAAGUUAGAAAAUGUUACUCUGUGUCCAGAUUUCUUCAGUGUGCACUGAAUGUUUGCGAAACGUAAUCCAGGUGGUCAUAUUACUUAAGUCUUCCAGACCAUGUUUUGUAGAAAGAAAAUUCUCAUAAUGGAGUUAACUUCAAAACUGAUAACACUGAACUCACGUGUUAAUUGGAGAAAAUGAUGAUCUAGUAAGUAUUAUUUUGGAUGUACUGGAUGGGCUCUUCAGAUGUGUUUACACUAUCUCUUCACAUUUCAUAUUUAAAUUUUAUUUUCUCCUUUAGCAUGUUUUCCCAAUCAAGACAAGGUGUUCCCCCACCCCCACCCCGGGCAACCAGCCUUUUUCUUUGCUUACAUGUGUUUUUCUUGUUAUAUUUACUUUUCCCUCUUUGCUUGCUUUUAAAUUUCAAAACAGAAAUCAGAUACACUUUUGAUUUUCUGUCUCAGAUGAACAAAUGCUGUUGAAACGCAAAUAACAUGUGACGUCUGCUCAAGUUAAUGCUACGCAUGUAAAAGAUUUGAACUUGACAGUGCUGGUACAGAUGAAAUGUUUACCAUACAUAAAUCCCAGCCAGAAGUAAUGAAACAUUUCUACAUUGCUUCAUCAGUGUUCUAAAACCUUAUUCUGAGCUGAAUGCCUGUAACAAGUUGGAAGCAAGGUUACCCAUCAUGACUAUUCAUUUAUUGUCUUUCAUAUGGAGUGGUGCAGUAAAAAGUCUUGAAGGCAGUGUUGUAUGAUGCUAUUAUACAAGUGAAAGUGGCAGCUAAUUUAUUUAACUUAGUUUUCUGUAUAUGAUUAAGUUGCAGCUUUAACUAAUUUUUAAACACAGUAAAUUUUGUAUUAAGUACUAACAUGGCAACAGAAAGCUGUCUAUACUUCUAAAAACACAAGUAUCUGUGUGAAAUUAGCCAAAGAUGCAAUAUUUCCACUGCUUAAAUAUGUAACAUAAAAUACACUUGACUAUUUCCAGGUAAUGGUUACAUCAAUGAAAAAACUAAUUGGUUUGAAAGCACAUUGUAUAGGAAAAUAUAUCAUGUAUGUACGUAGACAUCAUCACAUGUGACAAUUCUGCAUGUGUUAAAUUGCAUAUACAGUAUUUAGUGAAGUAAUAGUGGAGAGAUGAGGACAGGGAGCAAUCCUGCAAUAUAGUCUCUAGAUCAAGUUGCACAUUUUAAUUAGAACACAGGUUGGCAACCUACAGUCCUCUA
Pogona vitticeps (central bearded dragon) is the source of this 1716-nucleotide non-coding RNA. The record is from RefSeq and is a predicted model, not a curated record. Lineage: Eukaryota; Metazoa; Chordata; Lepidosauria; Squamata; Agamidae.